Molecule: long non-coding RNA, 1077 nt
Organism: Herpailurus yagouaroundi (jaguarundi)
Lineage: Eukaryota; Metazoa; Chordata; Mammalia; Carnivora; Felidae
Exons: 3
Source: RefSeq, a predicted model, not a curated record
CGGUCAGGUUGCGGUACCUCUGGAUAAUGUGCGUGCGACCUUAUCGCAUGCACGUGCGACAAAGCUCGUUCACACCCAGGACCGGAUUUGGUGCCCUUUACAAGUGAGAAAACUAAGGCAGCACCAUCGACUCCUUUCACAAUGGUGAAAUGGUGAUUCCGAAAUGGUGAUGGAGAUUCAGACCCAGGUGACCUGAGUCCUCGACUCGACUUGUCUUAUCACGCCACACUGCCUUCCACUGAUGCUCGGAAACUUUGACCUGAAAAUCGGUGAACGUGAUUCAGAAUGCACCCAUUCUUUCAGGGAAGGCGUUGGCACUUAUUCAGACAUGAAAAUAUAUUCUUGGAAGAAAACAAAAAAAGUGUCAGAAGAGUUAUUAGUCCUUGAAUUGGUAUUCUCUGAGCCGGAGAAAGAAGGAACAAGGAAGCUAACAUUUCAGCUUUGGACCCUCCUUGGGACUAUAACUUGAGAGCCAGAAGAGACUAUGAGAACAUGGAACGUGAUGAUUCAAGAACAAGGGCACGCUGCAGUAGCUGCUCCCCCCCCCCAUGACUAAGAACUCUUCUUGAUAACUAGAUAAGGAAACUGAGACCUGCAAAUAAAGAGUGACUUCCCCAAGGUCACACAGCCCGUGUGAAGCAAGCUAUGACUAGGACCUGACUUUCUGAGUCUUACUCCAGCACUCUUUGCUCUUCCACUUAUUGCUUAAUGUUUCAUCUAUGUGUUCGCAUGUGCACAUGCAGGUUUGCUUGAGCAACGGGAAUUUUAUUGGAAUGAUAUUUUCUUGUGUAUUUACCCCCAAGGUAUACCUCAUUAGACUCCUCACAUAAUAACAAUAAUAAUUUAAGGUUGCUUUUGUUGAAAAUCCUGAGUUUAUUCAUGACAUAUAUGAUAGUUAGCUUAUCUCCCCAUCUCUACCCCAACUGUUUCUGGAUUUAUUUGGGGCCAAAUUGUCUUGGCUGAACUCUGAGGUCUGUGCUUCUUCCAGUCCUAUCCCUACAUUACCCUCCCAAGGCACAGAACUGAUCUGAUGCCUUUUUCAUUUGAAAUAAACUUACAAAAAUUUAUAAUAUGUAA